Numida meleagris (helmeted guineafowl) is the source of this 5513-nucleotide long non-coding RNA. RefSeq lists it as uncharacterized. Lineage: Eukaryota; Metazoa; Chordata; Aves; Galliformes; Numididae. The record is from RefSeq and is a predicted model, not a curated record. The transcript is spliced from 3 exons.
CCCUCACCUCGCCACAACCUCCUUUCAGGGAGCUGUAGAGACCAUAAGGUCUCCCCUGAGCCUCCUCUUCACCAGCCUGAAGAACCUCACUUUCUACUGACAGCUACCCAUAGACUUCAUUCCCUCCCUGAGCCUCUGCUUGUAGCCCUCAUGCAUCUGCUCCAGAUGAAUAUCCCAGCAAAUCAACCUCUAAUAUUUAUGGAAACAGCAAAUUACAAUGCAAAUGUUGCAAAACUGCUCAGAGAAAUAAAAAUUUGAAUUUGUAAUCAGGUCUGUUUCCACUGGAAAUUGGAUUCUGCCUUUUAUGCUCAGCUGAUCAGGCAAAAGAAAAGCGCAUUGUGUGACCUACAUCUUCAAUCGGAUGUAAAUAACAGCCUGUGUUUGGGGUACUGAGGGCUCGUGACAAGCUUGCCCACCAGCUGCAUGGAUUAUCUAUCCCACGCCAUCAGGGGAAUAUAACAAGCGAGCAAUCUUUAAAUUUGCUUGGAGCACCUUCUGAUCCCUUGCAUCAGUCUGCCCUUAGAGCUUCUUUGUACCACUCCAACAGCAGAGAGGCACUGAGACAGGUGCCAGCAUGUGGCCGUCUCUUCCAACCCAAAGCCAUUCCGUGAUUCUGUGCCCAGACUCAUUGCAUGGGGUUGCAGCCUGGGAGCUGCGUUGGGGAAGGUUUCUAACCCUAAAACUGGGAUCCCUAACAGGAGAAGGGAGCACAUCGUGCUGGAUGGCUGUGAGGAUGGGGAGGAGCCUCGUUCCUCUCAAACAAACUCUCCAUCCCAAAACCAGCAUCCCCCAGGGAGGGGAAUGGCUGCACCACGGGCUGCAGCCACGCAAAAUAACAACAGCAAACGGAACGAUCCUAAAGCGGUGAUUGCUGCUUGGGAAAAGCAGCCUGCAAAAAGCUGCCCAAACGCUGUGAUCCUGAGAGGUGUGGAGUGGCUCUGGUGUUUGCUACAGGAAAAUUGAAAAAUCCAGGCGAGUCCAGCACAACAGCACCUCUUCCCUUCCUUUUUUUUUUCCCCUCCUUUUAUUUUUGUGUGUGUGUGUGUGUGUGGGUGUGUGCCUUUUAAUUCAUCCAACCUGAAGGAGCAACGCUAAGCCUAUCCAAGCCCAGGGGCCUCAGCCUGCAGAACGAAUGACGCACCCUCCCGCAGCACCAGCUGCGAAUGAAGCAGCAUCCUGCACCUCUCCGCGUCGGUGAGACAGCACGGAGCCGCCCAAAACACAAUGGGAAAUCCAAAGCAGUUCUGGUGGCAAAACGCCACUUUGGUGCGAAGGGACAUCCUCGCGAACACCCCAUCCCAGGCGGUUCCUUCCCAGGUCGUUCCCAACCUCGUUUCCCAGCCUCACGGAGCCACAGGGCUGGCGUCCCGCUGGGCGCAGCAGGGUGUUAUUCCCAUACGUGAGAUGGGAAUGACGCACCUCUGUUUCCCUUGCUCCACAGGGACUGCACCGGGGGCUCAGUGCCACCUCUGUCCCAUUCUCCUUCUGAAGGACUCCUCGGGGCGGUGGAAGCGUUGGCGAGAUACAGACCACAGCGGUCCCUCCUGUGCCUACAGCUUGGCCCGAGGGCCCCUCAGGAGAUCCCACCCCGGCACCGACCCUCGACGGACAGCGCGGAGCUGUGACUCGCAGUGACCCCACCGCAGCUGUCGGCACGCGGUGCCAUUUGUUGCGUGUGCCAUUCGCUGCUAUCACUCCUCCUGGCUCGGGGCUGACGCGCACCGUGAGCCACCUGUAGCCGCGAGCCUCGCGCCCGCACCCAUUCGUUUCCCGGCAGAGGGCUGGAGGGAGCUUUUCAGGCUCCAGCAAAGGCGACGCAUUCCUCCGUCGGCUCUCAGGAGUCACCAAGGUCACAGGAAAAGACGCCAGAUAGCAAUCUGAGAUGAAACGGAGUACUUUCGCAUCUCUCACCAAACAGCAGCCGAGGACAUGUGCAGGCAGUUGCAGGGUCCAUCUCCCCGAGCCCGGAGCAGGUGAGCAGCGCUGACCUCGCCGCUGGCUGGAAGGGGCCCUUGGAGCUCUGUCACGGGGUGGGACAGCCCCAGGUCCCCUUCAUUGCGGCCUCGUGGUCCCCAGGCUGCUCGCACCCCGCUGGUGAGCAGCUCCGAGCCACUGCAGGCACGUCCCCAGCCACACACCUUGAUGACCAGGGACAGCGCGAUCCUACAGCAUCACACUUCGGGCACGUGAAGCUGGGGACAUCUGAGUGGCCCAGAAACUGCCAACACCAAGCUGCACCGGACACAGAAUCACAGAAUUGCUUGGAAUUGGAAGGGAACCCUAAAGGCCACCUGGUCCAACCCCCCUGCAAUGAGCAGGGACACCAACAGCUCCAUCAGGUGCUCAGAGCCCCAUCCAACUCGACCUUGAGUGUCUCCAGGGAUGGGGCACCCACCACCUCUCCAGGCUCCAUCAGCCUUUGUCAAUGGACCUACCCAUUCCCUAUGGAACACAUCAGAGAAAGAGCCCUAACCCACAAGAUGGAGAAACCAACACCCAGCCAAGGAAUGCACCGCCAUGAGUUAAAGCUUGUGUGAGGAGCUGAGAAGUAUUCUGAUACUUUGGGGGAAGACAUGAGGCAGGAGUUCAAACAUUCGGAGAUACCUCUUUAUAUGAAAUGAAUGGCUCCCCAUUCCUGCGCAGCGAGAACAAAACCGGCAGCAUGCAGAUGCAAAAUAAACGUUGCUGAACGCACAGCCAUAAAGAAACCAGGGCCAGAUUGAAUGCUUUCAUGUCCCUGUGGCCAUAGUGGGACCCAUUGAAGACCCAGCAUGGCAGACCCCGAUGGGCCCUCCCAGGUGGGCAGCUAAUGGCCCUUCCCCAAAAUUCCCCUUAAAAGCAUCACACAUCAGGAGGUGUCCAUGGGGAUGUUACAUCCAUCCUCUCACCAUUGCAGUCACCAACGGGACAAAAGCACUGCAACGGGAGCCAAUGCCACUGAAGGAGUAUUUACCAUCACAGCCAGCCUGUCCCCCCACUGUCAUGGCUCAGUCACAAGCACCUGGGAAGGAAACACCGAUGGCUUUUUUUGUACUCCCCAAAUGCACUCCCUUCCCCACCAGAUGCCCCAUUGCCAAGGCUUUGUGGCUGUAAAGGGAAAGCUAUUGUAUUUUCCUGCCACGUUAUUUCAUUCCCACCUUUGCCACUUCACUAAGGGAUAUCCCUGCACUGUCAUGCACAAGUCAUGAGGAACCCCAGUAUUCUCAAGCCCCAGCUCUAACAUAACUACAUAAAGUAUGAUGGAUGGUAUAUGGUGAUUAAUUGAAUCCCACCAUCACUCUGCAUUAGGGGAGGAAAAACACCAUUUGGUUUUGUUUCACUUUGCUUUCCACAUCCCAGCCCGAGGGGCUGGAGGCACACGGCCCAGUUUGCCAGGUUCUGCAUUGUUUUGCCCUGAAGUCACAGAAAAGCACAGGAGUUUUGACAGAAGGGGCACCUUGGUAACCCCUUGCCAGGAUCACACUCACUGGUCACUCCUGGUUGGUGCUCCAGGAACCCUUCCCAGCCCCAGCCCCAGCGCAGAACUCCUGCAGCUCCCUUGAAACGCAGCCCAGAUCUGUCCCGAGCUUGGAGCAGGCUCAUAAACCUCAGACAAGUUUUCAGCUGAUGAUGAAUUAAGGUACAAAGUGAAUAGUUUCUACUCCUGGAAUUUGUUAUUAAAAGUCCCGAGUUUCCGAAGUGGACAGAUAGUUCCUAACCCAGUAAUUAAUUACCUUCCCCGUCUCCUCUCCGUGCUGUAAGCCAUCCAUUAAUGGAUCCCAAUCAUCCAAAAGGCACUUAGCACCUGAACAUUUUUCUCCGCAUUCCGGGGGUAGCGGUGCUCGAUUGAUUUAUUUUUACAGGGAACACUCGCCUUGUGCCUCCCUUGGAAGCAGCUCAUUCCAGAUACUUGACAUUUGGAGGUCAGGAUGGAUGUGGGUCUUGUGAUCUCUUUUCAUCCCUCACAGCAAAAUGCACAGCAAGCUUAUGCCACCGGGUCCAAAAUGUUCCUUUCUGAUUCCUGUCAGAAAUAAACCCCGUAUUUCCUGGGGAAAAGCAGUUAGCCAUUUCAAUCCAUCUGAAGCAACUCGGAACCUCUGAUUCCUUUCUUUCAUGACUGUUCUCAGCCUGCUCUGAGAAGGAAUAUCAGUGAGUCCACUGCACACGAUUUUGUAUGGAGUUCCCAAAUUUACUGGUUCACCAUAUUAUUUUUUUUUUCCUAUUUAUGGCAGUAAUUGCCCAUUCUAGAAUUCAGAGAGCAAAGGCAAUAAUUCAGAGAACCUCCUUUCUCCAGUAAUUUAAAUGAUAACUCCAUGCUGGCCGCUGUGCUUCAGUGCAUCCCGUCCAGGUGCAGGUGUGAUGCUGGAUGAAGCUGAGCCAGAACCAGAAGCAAAGGGGUGAGAACACAUUGCCUUGCUGGCCACAGAGAGCCCCUUGCCAUAACCAGGCACGGCAUCAUUAUUUAAUUCACGUGUUUUGCUGUUUGCUGCUCCUCCAGGAUCACCAUUAUCUGCAAGCGACCAUCCCAAGCAUGCGACUUUCUGGCCACUGUGCGCAACGAAAACACCCAAGGGAACCCAAAGAUGACCAAGAGAGAGCCAUGAAGAGAGGAAAGAAACAUAGGGAUUUGGGUUAAGCUACAGAUUGAAGGAGUUUGGUUCUCCCAGUGCAGAAUCCCAUUGGGACACCCAGACAGAACCAGAGUAAUGGCAACUUACAGCAAGGAGCUGUCACUUAACGCCCAUAUCACAGCAAAACUUGACUUUUCUCCUGCCCAUUCUCAACUCUAUUUGUGUUGCACUGCUUUUGAGGCAGAUGACUCUAAUUCCUGUACACUUGAUAAUGUCAUGGCAUCACAAACACAGCAUGAGCAUCUAGGCAAGGCUGCAAGGCAAAGAAUAAACUAUUUAAUCCUUCACUGCCUUCUGUGUCUGUGCCUUCUGCAAACGAAUCCGUCAAACCCACAUCUAGCAACUUACAGCUGGAGGCUUAGAAAAAAAAGAGGUUUUACAUCCACGUAUCUCAUAAAAACAAAUGUUUUCACACCCUCAUUUCUUAAAAGCAAUUCCAUGAACUCAAAGGAAAGUUGGUUAUAGAUGAUAACAAAGCUCACAUGGCUUAAAAGAUAGAAGGAUCUUUUCAUUAUGAAAUUAACUGAGCUGCAACUUGUUCUGGACAGAUAAUGCUCAGACCUGGGUCCCAAACCACCCUUCAGGAUUCCUGAAGCAAGGCUUCCCUCCACCCUUACAGUUAACGAUGUCAAUGACAACGCCCCAGGAAAGAUCAGCACACCUCUUCUCAAGCACCAAGUAGGAAAGUUGCUCUACUUACCGCACACAACAGCAGCAAUGAAACUGUAGACCAGAAAGCCCAGGCACGACAUGCCCUGAGACAACAGACACAGGCACCUUCCCGACAGCGCUGGCCAAAACUAUGGUACCCAAUGGGAGGAGCUGCUUGUCUCAUUGAAUCCCAGAAUGGCUUGGGCUGGAAGGGACCUCGAAGCCCACCCAGUUGCAAUGCCCCUGCCUUUG